UCGAGGGGUAUAGUAGCAAUACUAGAGACCGGCGCACGGGUGCGUAACGCGUAUGCAACCUACCUUUUACAGGGGAAUAGCCCAGAGAAAUUUGGAUUAAUGCCCCAUGGUAUAAUUGAAUGGCAUCAUUUGAUUAUUAAAGUUCCAACGGUAAAAGAUGGGCAUGCGUCCUAUUAGCUAGAUGGUAAGGUAACGGCUUACCAUGGCUACGAUAGGUAGGGGUCCUGAGAGGGAGAUCCCCCACACUGGUACUGAGACACGGACCAGACUCCUACGGGAGGCAGCAGUGAGGAAUAUUGGACAAUGGGCGCAAGCCUGAUCCAGCCAUGCCGCGUGCAGGAAGACGCAUCUAUGGUGUGUAAACUGCUUUUGUACGGGAAGAAACACUCCUACGUGUAGGAGCUUGACGGUACCGUAAGAAUAAGGAUCGGCUAACUCCGUGCCAGCAGCCGCGGUAAUACGGAGGAUCCAAGCGUUAUCCGGAAUCAUUGGGUUUAAAGGGUCCGUAGGCGGUUUAAUAAGUCAGUGGUGAAAUCUGGUCGCUCAACGAUCAAACGGCCAUUGAUACUGUUAGACUUGAAUUACUGGGAAGUAACUAGAAUAUGUAGUGUAGCGGUGAAAUGCUUANAUAUUACAUGGAAUAC
Molecule: ribosomal RNA, 644 nt
Filed under: uncultured Bacteroidota bacterium
Lineage: Bacteria; Pseudomonadati; Bacteroidota
Description: bacterial SSU rRNA
Rfam family: Bacterial small subunit ribosomal RNA
Source: RNAcentral